This 305-nucleotide ribosomal RNA is filed under the name uncultured bacterium. RNAcentral's name for it is "bacterial SSU rRNA". It matches the Rfam family "Bacterial small subunit ribosomal RNA", at positions 332 to 636 of the family's 1533-position model. The record is from RNAcentral.
UGUAGCCUACGGGGCGCAGCAGUGAGGAAUAUUGGUCAAUGGGCGCGAGCCUGAACCAGCCAAGUCGCGUGAGGGAAGACGGUCCUAUGGAUUGUAAACCUCUUUUGUCGGGGAGCAAAAGACGCCACGCGUGGCGUUCCGAGAGUACCCGAAGAAAAAGCAUCGGCUAACUCCGUGCCAGCAGCCGCGGUAAUACGGGGGAUGCGAGCGUUAUCCGGAUUUAUUGGGUUUAAAGGGUGCGUAGGCGGAUUUUUAAGUCAGCGGUAAAAUGUCCGGGCUCAACCCGGGCCGGCCGUUGAAACUGG